UGGGGGCUGGGGAAGGUUCAAUAGCUGAACUUGAGACCAGAACGCGAGAGCCUUGGAGUAAAGGAGUUCUAGAGUUGAGUUUGGAGCCGUGAGAAGGGAUUCUAAGUCGAGGGAACGUCAGGAACCGUUUUUGAAGAGCUAGCUAAGGAGAAAACUGUAAUGGGAGAUAAAUCUGUGUUUUUUGUUCUAAUCGAAUUUGUUUAUGGUCUUAGAAUGAG
Molecule: long non-coding RNA, 218 nt
Filed under: Vigna radiata
Lineage: Eukaryota; Viridiplantae; Streptophyta; Magnoliopsida; Fabales; Fabaceae
Description: long non-coding RNA (VRAD_LNC004667)
Source: RNAcentral